UCUCCGGGUAGCGGUCGACUGCGACGAUAACGACGAGUAAAAUCGUGCGGUGUGCAAAAGUCGCGUUGAAUAUAAUAUCAUAUUUAUAGUUUACGGUCGUUGCAAAAAUCGAAUGAUGCGUUUCUCGUUAGCGUUCGCAGUUUUGUUCGUGGCUGUGGCUGCAGUGUCUGCCGGGGUUUAUCCGGUGAAAACAGGCGGCGGCAAAGGCGCGUCGAAACAUUCGAAGGGUGGUGGUCAUGACAACGCAGAGGACGACCGUUUUCAUAUGCAGUCGGCCGACGGACAGUACGUUUUCGGGCACACCACCGGAACCCAGGGUCGAGCCGAAAUACGCAACAAAGACGGUACGGUGACCGGAUACUACAGUUACGUGGGCGAUAACGGUAAAGUGGUCUACGUCAAUUACGUGGCAGAUCAGAAAGGAUACAGAGUGUUGUCCAACACCGGUGUGCCGUCGGCUUCGGUCACCAUAGAAGGCGAUGCCGGAACCAAAGGUCCUCGUGCCGAAAAGGAUUUUUUACAAGUUUUUACGGACUUCACGAAACGCAUUAAGGACAAAGUCGUAAAACAGGCCGGACAAGAAACCGUGGACCUCGGUGACGGUCAACAUCAAAUCGACGUCAUUGAUCCCGCUUCAGUUUAUCCGACUAAAGAGAUAAAAUCUAUAAGUAACAAAGAAACAGACCAGUUUCCGGAUUGGAAUCGAGUAAAGAUUCCUUCAACCCAAAAACCAACAGUGAGCAUUGACGGAAUUGAAAUCACCGAAGGACAACAGCAACAAGGAACAGUAGAUCCUAAUUUGGAUAACGUAACAACUCAAAAAGUAAAUAUUAAAGGAUAUGAUAACGAUAUUCAAGGAUCUAAUAACUACGAUUGGGAUGGCGCAGUUAUAACUACAGAAACGGCUAUGAAAAAUAUCCCAUCAUAUCCCAAUCAGCCCCAAGUUCCCACUAAAGGGGAUCGAAAAGAAGAAUAUGCUGACACAACUACAGUUCACGAAGUAUACGUCCAAGAAAUCACGACUGAAAUCGGUAACUCCAAAGUCAUUACGGAGUCCCCCGUGUUCACUAAUGAUGCGGAAAACAAUUCACCAAUUUCAAAACCCGCGGAGUCAAUUGUUGUCAACGAUGCCCAGACAACAAUAUCUUAUUAUGAUGUCUCCGGAAAACCGGCGGAAGGAAGAAUGAUCAACCGAGAAGAUAUCCAGCUGACAACAAUGGGCGGAGUGAGGCAAUUCGAAGAGUCUUCGACUGUGGCGGCGGAGAUAUCGGAAAGCGUCACGACUAAUAACCAAAUCGUUCAGGAAAUCCAAGAAAAAAUCAAGACGCCACUUGAAACGGAUGUAGUACUGACAACCGGCAAACCGCUCGAUAAAGAAUCGUCCGACAACGUUCCCGUAGUCACCGAAAACCCAAGUGAUCGAAUCGAUUUAAAAAUUGCCGACGCCGAAUUCACGACGAUCACGACUGCGGUCGACGAAAAAAUGACGGUAAAUACUCGUGUGAACACCGCUUCGCCUGCAGAGUACGAACCCAAGACAACCACGUUCCAGCCCGAUGUCAAAACGAGUGACAUGGAGACCACGACGACCGGCAUUCAGUACGUGACCGAAGCGAACAGGGACGACGGUUUUGACUUCAAAACGCUCGAGCAGAGCGACGUGAUCGGGACGACGAGCAUACCGAACCGCGGACAAUCUGAGGCGCAAGAGGUGCAAGAUAUCGCGUGGCCGGAAAUACCUGCAGUGCCCGCAGUACCGCAAGUUUUGGUACCCCUGAAUCCGUAUCCCGAGAAUUCGGGCGUCAAAAACGCAGUCGUCAAAUCUCAUUCGGCCAACUCGAGACUGGUAAUGUAGUUAAUUGCGUUUGAAACACGAAAAGAAAAAAAAAAGUACAUUCAUAAAUGCGUGUGAGAAAUUUCAACUUAAACGUAGACGACGCAAAGUCCUCGACGGUCAACUCCUUGGAAGAAAUCAAAACGACAAUGCCGACCAAUGUAU
RNAcentral lists this unclassified non-coding RNA (1999 nucleotides) under Sipha flava (yellow sugarcane aphid). RNAcentral's name for it is "uncharacterized LOC112688168, transcript variant X1". Lineage: Eukaryota; Metazoa; Arthropoda; Insecta; Hemiptera; Aphididae. The record is from RNAcentral.